This 108-nucleotide small nuclear RNA is filed under the name Carlito syrichta (Philippine tarsier). The record is from RNAcentral. Lineage: Eukaryota; Metazoa; Chordata; Mammalia; Primates; Tarsiidae.
GUGCUUGCCUUGGCAGCACAUAGAUUAAAAUCAGAAGGAUACAGAGAAGAUUAGCAAGGCCUCUGCAUCAGGAUGACAUGCAAAAUUCAUGAAGCAUUCCAUAUUUUC